AAUAUUGCACAAUGGAGGAAACUCUGAUGCAGCGACGCCGCGUGAGCGAUGAAGGCUUUCGAGUCGUAAAGCUCUGUCCUAGGGGACGAUAAUGACGGUACCCUAGGAGGAAGCCCCGGCUAACUACGUGCCAGCAGCCGCGGUAAUACGUAGGGUGCAAGCGUUGUCCGGAAUUACUGGGCGUAAAGGGUGCGUAGGCGGCAUAUUAAGUCAGGUGUGAAACCCCACGGCUCAACUGUGGGCUUGCACAUGAAACUGGUAUGCUUGAGUACAGGAGAGGAAAGCGGAAUUCCUAGUGUAGUGGUGAAAUGCGUAGAUAUUAGGAAGAACACCAGUGGCGAAGGCGGCUUUCUGGACUGUAACUGACGCUGAGGCACGAAAGCGUGGGGAGCAAACA
This 397-nucleotide ribosomal RNA is filed under the name uncultured bacterium. RNAcentral's name for it is "partial 16S ribosomal RNA". It matches the Rfam family "Bacterial small subunit ribosomal RNA", at positions 360 to 774 of the family's 1533-position model. The record is from RNAcentral.